UACGUAGGGCGCAAGCGUUAUCCGGAAUUACUGGGCGUAAAGAGCUCGUAGGUGGUUUGUCGCGUUGUUCGUGAAAACCGGGGGCUUAACCCUCGGCGUGCGGGCGAUACGGGCAGACUGGAGUACUGCAGGGGAGACUGGAAUUCCUGGUGUAGCGGUGGAAUGCGCAGAUAUCAGGAGGAACACCGGUGGCGAAGGCGGGUCUCUGGGCAGUAACUGACGCUGAGGAGCGAAAGCGUGGGGAGCGAAUAGG
RNAcentral lists this ribosomal RNA (253 nucleotides) under uncultured bacterium. Its description in RNAcentral is "partial 16S ribosomal RNA". It matches the Rfam family "Bacterial small subunit ribosomal RNA", at positions 524 to 776 of the family's 1533-position model. The record is from RNAcentral.